Molecule: transfer RNA, 91 nt
Filed under: Streptomyces naganishii JCM 4654
Lineage: Bacteria; Bacillati; Actinomycetota; Actinomycetes; Kitasatosporales; Streptomycetaceae
Description: tRNA-Ser
Source: RNAcentral
GCCGCUGUGGCCGGCGGCCGUGGUGACGCUGGUGCUGCUGGCGCCCGGGAUCGGCGUCCUGCUGGAACGGUUCGUCUUCCGCCCGGCGGCG